CUUGAACAGCUCAGCUCUUGGAAGUUUAUCUUAAUUGCUAAAAACAAACAAAACCACAUUGCAUCCACAAUGAUAUGCAGUACAGUCCCAUGCAAAUUGACUCAAUAAACUAAAGGUGACUGGGCUAGAUGGCGAUUACUUUCAAAAAGCAUGUGUAGGAUUGCAACACCUGGCCCAAUCCCAUGCACAUUUACUUCAAAGUAAACCUGCCUGGGAUUGCAGCCAUAAAAGCAGUGGAGACUAUACUGACUGGAAUAAAACAAGGAGGAGCUGGAACAGACUGGUCGGCAUUUUGAAGAGGGUCAGAUGCACAGCCAGUGCAUGUCAGGCCCUUGCAACCUAUGUGCACUAGAAUAUCCUUCCUGUACUGGUCUCCUGCCUGCUACUGAUUGUCCACACAGUAGGCAGUUGUGAAAGCAGAACCAGAAUGAGCCUCAACGAUAUAGAGUUGGCCAGGCAGACCGUGUAGCAACAGCGUGCUCUAACAGCCCAAACGGCUAGAAGGCAAAAUCUGAAAGUGAUAUGCUGUGGUAAGUCAAGGAUGGAGAACCCGUGGCCCUCCAGAUAUUGCUAGACUGCAGCUCCCAUCGUCCCUGACCAUUGGUCAUGCUGGCUGAGGCUGUUGAGAGUGAAACAACAUCUGGACACACAAGUCCCUCACUUCUGUCAUAAAUAAUAGGAGAAAUAAAACAGUGUAAAGACAACAAUAAAAUAAUCAUCACCAUCAUUUAUUAUUAUUA
Long non-coding RNA from Rhineura floridana, 740 nucleotides. RefSeq lists it as uncharacterized. The transcript has 3 exons. NCBI's taxonomy places the organism in Eukaryota, Metazoa, Chordata, Lepidosauria, Squamata, Rhineuridae. The record is from RefSeq and is a predicted model, not a curated record.